RNAcentral lists this ribosomal RNA (458 nucleotides) under uncultured bacterium. Its description in RNAcentral is "partial 16S ribosomal RNA". It matches the Rfam family "Bacterial small subunit ribosomal RNA", at positions 338 to 795 of the family's 1533-position model. The record is from RNAcentral.
CCUACGGGUGGCAGCAGUGAGGAAUAUUGGUCAAUGGGCGAGAGCCUGAACCAGCCAAGUCGCGUGAGGGAGUACUGCCCUAUGGGUUGUAAACCUCUUUUGUCGGGGAGCAAAAGCCGGACGUGUCCGGCUGUGAGAGUACCCGAAGAAAAAGCAUCGGCUAACUCCGUGCCAGCAGCCGCGGUAAUACGGAGGAUGCGAGCGUUAUCCGGAUUUAUUGGGUUUAAAGGGUGCGCAGGCGGAUUUUUAAGUCAGCGGUCAAAUCGUGGGGCUCAACCUCGCUCCGCCGUUGAAACUGGCGUUCUUGAGUGGGCGAGAAGUAUGCGGAAUGCGUGGUGUAGCGGUGAAAUGCAUAGAUAUCACGCAGAACCCCGAUUGCGAAGGCAGCCUGCCAAGCCAUGACUGACGCUGAUGCACGAAAGCGUGGGGAUCAAACAGGAUUAGAUACCCCAGUAGUC